CCCUUAGACGUUCUGGGCCGCACGCGCGCUACACUGACCAGUGCAACAAGCAUCCGUCCUUGGCCGACAGGCUCGGGCAAUCUUUGAACGCUGGUCGUGAUGGGGAUAGACUUUUGCAAUUUUUGGUCUUCAACGAGGAAUUCCUAGUAAACGCAAGUCAUCAACUUGCAUUGAUUACGUCCCUGCCCUUUGUACACACCGCCCGUCGCACCUACCGAUUGAAUGGUCCGGUGAAGCCUCCGGAUUGGCGCGCACCUCGGUGCCGCCGAGAAGUUGGCUAAACCUUACCAUUUAGAGGAAGGAGAAGUCGUAACA
This 315-nucleotide ribosomal RNA is filed under the name uncultured eukaryote. RNAcentral describes it as "partial 18S ribosomal RNA". It matches the Rfam family "Eukaryotic small subunit ribosomal RNA", at positions 1470 to 1796 of the family's 1831-position model. The record is from RNAcentral.